This 3094-nucleotide long non-coding RNA is filed under the name Homo sapiens (human). RNAcentral describes it as "non-protein coding lnc-DBF4-3:1". The record is from RNAcentral. Lineage: Eukaryota; Metazoa; Chordata; Mammalia; Primates; Hominidae.
AAGUGAUACCAUAGUUUCUCUCUCUUUUCCCUGUUACUUUAAAAAGAAUUUUAAAAUUGUGUUUGUAUAUAAGGUCAGUCUGGCAUAGAAUUUCUGAAAGUAACAUUAAUAGGAUUUCUAAAGAAGUUGUCAGAAAGACAAAAUUGGAUAUUCUCUGCACUUUCAGAGAAGGACUAUUUAUGUUUGAAUUUCAUAACAGGCUUACAUUUCUUUUCUAUUGAUUCCCUUGCAUAUCUACAUAAUUUAAUCCUGUCUAUUGUCCCAGAUCUCUUGUGGCUACUUUACCUGUUACCUUUUUUGGGAUUUUGUUCUUUAUGUUUUACAGUUACCUUCGGACCAGAAGAUAUAUGGUAUUUUUAUUCACUUUUUUCAGUGUUUUAAAAUAAGGUUUGUUCAUUUAUUCAUUUUAUCCAUUCAUUUCCUAUUGUCGUAUAGUUCUAACCAUAUAUAUAGUACUUUAAAUAUUUUCUUAUGUUAUUAUUUAACACAAUAAUAAAUUCUUAUCUAAAGAAAAGAUUAUUUUACUUUAUUUUACUUAAAGGAAAGAGAAUUUAUUGGCAGGAUAUUGAGUAGCUUGUAGAGUAUAUGGAAGGGGAGAGCCAAGUUAGGAACUGGCAGGAGCGAGGAGGGACAAGACAGCUGCCUGCACAGUCUGAUAGGACACAUCUGGCUGCUGCCACUGGAUGCCCACAUGGGCAGCGUGUUGUAAAUAUCACCCUACCAGUUGGUAAGUUGGCAUGAAUUUUCCAUGAAACACUUGACUGCCAUUUGCAGCAUCAUAUCUACUUUUUAUGCACCUAAUUAUAUUUUUCCUUUCACUUUUAUGUUUUUUUCUAAAACUGCCACCUAAAUACCUUUCCACUCCGUUAAAUGUAUGGAGUCAAGAUAAAUUUCUCAUUCUUGCUCUACAGUUUAAGAUGUAUAAGAAGUAAACACUUCCGUGGAAUAGGGCUUAAUUUGGGGCUCAAAUGUUUUGUUUUCCUCCUGAGAUGUUUUUGAAUGGAUAAGACUACUCUGGUUUUGGAUGCAGCAACUUUUCUCCUGGCAUGGAAGAACUAAGGACUUUGAUAAACAGUUUCCCAUUGAUAGUAUAAUAUAAUGAGGGGCCCAGUCUGCUCUUGUGAAAAUUGGCUGAGCGGCAGCAGCCCAUCCCAGCUGUGUGUGAGUAGCCCCGCUGUUAAAAGUACACCUGCUGGGAAUUGUUGGCACAUGCUCAUAGCAUAUGCUCUGUGGGGGAGGUGCUUUUAAUUCCAAGAGGAGCUUUUCUCCCACAUCUGCGGAUGCAGAACAAAGAUGCAGCAGGACUUUAGAAAACAGGAGUGUUUCUACUGACAUUUUAUUCAUUGCUUUGUUAGUCCCGCAAAUGGAGCAACUUCUGGUUGUUUGUAAGCAGAAAAACAAAACAUUCAAAACCAAAAACCUAAUUAGUACUUUUGUCCUUUAUAUCCCUAGGAUGCUCUAGGGAGUAGAGGUGGCAGGCAUCUUUAUCUUCACCCACUGGCACAUUAGCAGCUUAUGCAACUUAGGAAGUCACUGGGAGAUGAGUCCUAAAAGCCUGAAUUUCAGGAUGGGGAGGAGAUAAGAAGCAGAGAACUUUGGGAGACCAUGGGGCAUUUAGUCCUGGCAUAGACACAGAAUGGAUAUUCACAGGAAGAUUCCUGAGGCCAGAUAUGCAGGAGAGCACACAUUGUCACAAGGGGUGUGGUGGGAAGAGAGGUGCUGGAUGCCUAAGACAGACUUCUGUGCUUGGCAGAUUGACUGAGUGUUGACUCUGAAUACUUUGUGGUCCAGUCCAUAAUAGGCCAGUCACUCCUGCCUGAUGCAUCCCUGUUGCACUGUUCAUAAAACCUGUAUCAUAUGGGGAAGCUUCAAGGCUGGCAGGCUUUUCAUCAAGUAAUCAUCAUUCCAUGUUCCUACGUAUCCUUGAAAUCAAAACCAGGCAAUAUGUGUGUUUUUGGUUUUGUUUUACAAAAAGGCAUACAAUGAGACGAAUUCUUAAGAUAAUGCACAUACAGAAUCAUCAAUAAAGUUUCAAAGAGUUUAUGAAGAAAAGGUAUUUUCCUUUCUUGUAAAAAAUGUUAUAUAUAUAUAAUAUUCUGAUCUGCAUUCACCUUAGGGCUUAGCCUCUUAUUUUAUGAAUUUUCAGGCUGUGAUUUGUGUUGGAUGGCUAAGCUCUAAAAUAAUGCAAAUAGCCCCAAUCUUUAAAUAUAGCGGUGCUAAGUUGAACAAGUAACACAAUACAGAAAAUGCUGAUAUGAAUACUUAGUAAUAAUACAAAAGUUCCUGCUAAAUUAUAUAUGUGUAUCACUGCCUGACUAGAAACCCCACUUUUCUUUUCUAAUCCAGCACAAAAUCAAACUCUGAUUCUACAACCAGUCUUUUUAAAGGGCAAAAAUGACUCAACACCUUUGUUUUGUAUGGAAAACUUUUUUUUUUACACUAACUGCAAAACUGCUUUAAAAAAAGGCUUAUUCAGGAUAGAUAAGCAUGUACUCCUUUUUUAACUUGCUGGAAGACUUGCCCCUCCAAACUAGCACCCCCAAAAGACAACUUCUUUCAGAAACGGGGUGUUUUACCUAAACAUAGUAGCUUACAUGUUAGCCAGCAGUAGGUCGGCACUAGUGUUUUCCACGGUUAUCACCUUUGACAGGUGAUGUGCAUCUAUAGAUAGUGGAAGCCACCCCAUGAGGAGGUGUUAAUAGCAGCAUGGUUUCACUUUUGGUAAUCAGGUAAUCAUGUGUAUAUACUUAGAUUCGCAUUAUUUUAACAUUUCUCUGCUACUCUGCACUUCAGGUUCGUUAAGCUAUUUUAAUAAUUACUGGGGUUAUGGCAAACACCAAUGGAAAUGUAUAUGGCAACUGCUUUCCUGAGCAAGUGUGAUUUGUUUUAUGGCUGUUCAAGUUAUAAAAUUGUUCUUACAUUGUAGGUAAACAAAAUCUUGAUGUUUUUAAAGGUCACUGUAACUUAAGGUUCAAAUUUCUGGCACAGUUUUAUUAGUAUUCACUUCGGAAGCUAAUAAGAUACCAUGGUUUUCUAUGUUACUCCCAUUGUAACAUUAGUAAAGUGACUUUCAAUAAAAGAUUUAUGUUAUUUU